RNAcentral lists this ribosomal RNA (253 nucleotides) under uncultured bacterium. RNAcentral's name for it is "partial 16S ribosomal RNA". It matches the Rfam family "Bacterial small subunit ribosomal RNA", at positions 524 to 776 of the family's 1533-position model. The record is from RNAcentral.
UACGUAGGGUGCGAGCGUUAAUCGGAAUUACUGGGCGUAAAGCGUGCGCAGGCGGUUUUGUAAGCCAGAUGUGAAAUCCCCGGGCUUAACCUGGGAAUGGCAUUUGGGACUGCAAGGCUCGAGUGCGGCAGAGGAGACUGGAAUUCCUGGUGUAGCAGUGAAAUGCGUAAAUAUCAGGAGGAACACCGAUGGCGAAGGCAGGUCUCUGGGCUGACACUGACGCUCAUGCACGAAAGCGUGGGGAGCAAACAGG